AUGGAGGCGGCCCUGAAGAGGUACUUCGGGUACACGGGGUUCCGGCCGUACCAACGGGAGAUCGUGGAUACGAUCUUGCAAGGGCGGGACUGCCUGGUCGUCAUGGCCACCGGCAGCGGCAAGUCCAUGUGCUAUCAAAUCCCUCCACUGGUUGCAAAGAAGACAGCUGUUGUUGUCAGCCCUCUUCUGUCACUGAUGCAAGAUCAGGUCAUGAGUUUAAAACAACAUGGUGUGAGAUCUGAGUAUCUUGGCAGCACCCAAAUGAAUAGCUCUGUUAGCGGUGAGGCUGAAAAAGGCAUGUAUGAUGUUCUCUACAUGACCCCUGAGAAAGCUAUUGCACUUCCUUCAAGGUUCUGGAGUAACUUGCAAGCUUCCGGAAUCUGCUUGUUCGCCAUUGAUGAAGCGCAUUGCAUAUCGGAAUGGGGUCAUGAUUUCAGGCCGGAGUACAAGCAGCUGCAUUUAUUGCGUGAGCACCUUUUGGGUGUUCCCUUCGUUGCUCUAACUGCGACAGCCACAGAAAGGGUCCGUGGAGAUAUUGCCAAUUCCUUGAACCUGAGCAAUCCUCACGUUGCAAUCGGAUCAUUUGAUCGUCCUAACCUUUUCUACGGUGUGAAAUCAUACAACCGAUCUAUGUCCUUUAUCAGUGAACUUGUGAAAGAUGUCUCAAAGAACUGCACUGUUGGUGGCUCAACAAUCAUUUACUGUACCACCAUCCGGGAUACUGAACAGGUACAUGAAGCAAUGAUCACUGCUGGAAUCAAAGCUAACAUUUACCAUGGUAAAAUGGGUAGCAAAGCUAGAGAGGAAUCCCAUAGAUCAUUUGUUAGAGAUGAAGUACUUGUGAUGGUGGCAACUAUUGCAUUUGGAAUGGGAAUUGAUAAGCCAGAUGUUAGAUGUGUAAUACACUAUGGAUGUCCUAAGAGCCUAGAAUCGUACUACCAGGAAAGUGGGCGUUGUGGAAGAGAUGGACUGCCUUCAGUGUGCUGGCUAUAUUACCAAAGAAGUGAUUUUGCAAAAGCUGACUUCUAUUGUUCUGAAGCAACAAAUGCAACUCAAAGGAAUGCCAUCAUGGAUUCCUUCAUGGCGGCACAGAAAUAUUGCCUCCUUGCUACGUGUCGCAGAAAAUCCCUGCUGCAGUACUUUGGUGAAGAGCGUUACACCGACUGUGGUAACUGUGAUAAUUGCACAGGGACAAAAAAUGAGAGGGAUUUGUCAAAAGAAUCUUUCUUAUUGCUGUCCUGUGUCAAGUCGUGUGGGGGACGCUGGGGCCUUAAUAUGCCAGUUGAUGUUCUCCGUGGAUCACGAGUUAAAAAGAUACUUGAGAAGAACUACGAUAAACUUCCAAUGCAUGCGAUGGGAAAAGACUAUCCGCCAAACUGGUGGAAAGCACUUGGCAGUCUGCUUAUGGCACAUGGUUACUUAAAGGAGACUGUCAGUGAUGGAUUUAGAUUGGUCAGUGUUAGUCCAAAAGGGGUCAAGUUUCUCUCCGAUGGUGGAACGCCACUGGUUUUGCAGCUGACUGAAGAGAUGAUUGGGCAAGAGGAGCAGGGUAGUUCACAGAAUAAAGAAGGGGGCUUAAAUCCUUUAACCACCGCAGAAUCUGAAAAGAUAUCUGAGGAGGAAUUGAAACUCUACCAAAUGCUCUUGAACGUCAGGAUGAAACUUGCUCAGGAUAUUGGAACUGCACCAUAUGCUAUAUGUGGUGAUCAGACCCUAAGACACUUUGCAAAGAUUAGGCCUUCUACUGGAGCCAGACUGGCCAAUAUUGAUGGUGUAAACCAGCACUUCAUCUCGCGCUACAGUGGCACUUUUGUCCAAAAUAUCGCACAAUUCUCAAAACAGUUGAAUCUUUCGUUGGAUGAUUCAGCAGGAGUAGAGGAUAUGAUGUCAGUUCCAAAACCUGUAAACAACAGUCUUCCAAGAAACUUGGGUGAUGCCAAAUUUACUUCAUGGGAACUGUGGCAGAAACAGGAAUACUCGUUCAAGAAAAUUGCACAUUUUCGCAGAGCAGUGCCGAUAAAAGAGCAGACGGUUAUUUCAUACAUACUUGAUGCUGCUCGGGAUGGAUGUGAGAUGAACUGGAAUAGGUUUUUUGAGGAGACAGGACUGACCCCUGAGAUAGCUUCACAGAUCCGUCUUGCCAUUGCAAAGGUUGGAUCACGUGAGAGGUUGAAGCCAAUAAAAGAAGAGCUUCCAGAAAAUGUAACAUACGAAAUGAUCAAGAUAUUCUUCGCAGCUGAUGAUCUUGGAGCGUUAGAGAAGACUUUUGGCAACGGUCCUACUGACGGGUCUCCUGCCCAAACAGCCGAGUCGGCAAAACCCUGUUCCCAUGGCAGCGAAGCUCUGGAGAAGGGUGAUCAGGGAGACCCCGUCAUCAUAUCAGGCACCUGCGAUUCAAGCCCUUCGACAAAGAGAUCCCAGACCGACGGAACUCCGCUCUCUGCCGAUGAGCCAGUAAUGAAGCUGCAAAAGAUAGAGGAGCAAGGGACCGAACCUACCACCACAAAUGUUGCAACCGAGGACGCUAUACUUGAGCUGGCCGCGAGCCGCAACGGGGUUUCUUUGGAGGACGCCGUCAAGCACUUCAGCGGGUCGAAACGGGAAUCCGUCGUCGAGAUGCUGGAGAGCCUCCGGUGCAGCUUCGCGGUGUACAUGAAGAACGGCUGCUACUUGGUUCUGUGA
RNAcentral lists this ribosomal RNA (2682 nucleotides) under Triticum aestivum (bread wheat). RNAcentral describes it as "partial small subunit ribosomal RNA". The record is from RNAcentral. Lineage: Eukaryota; Viridiplantae; Streptophyta; Magnoliopsida; Poales; Poaceae.